GUUGUAUAGUCAAGUAAUUAAGUGCAUGUGGUGGAUGCCUUGGCAGUCAGAGGCGAUGAAAGACGUGAUAGCCUGCGAAAAGCUCCGGGGAGGCGGCAAAUAUCCUUUGAUCCGGAGAUGUCUGAAUGGGGGAACCCACCUACUUUAAGGUAGGUAUUGCAACAUGAAUACAUAGUGUUGCAAGGCGAACGAGGGGAAGUGAAACAUCUCAGUACCCUUAGGAAAAGAAAUCAAUUGAGAUUCCCUCAGUAGCGGCGAGCGAACGGGGAUCAGCCCAUUAAGUUAUGUGUGUUUUAGUGGAACGCUCUGGGAAGUGCGAACGUAGAGGGUGAUAUUCCCGUACACGAAAGGGCACACAUAAUGAUGACGAGUAGGGCGAGGCACGUGAAACCUUGUCUGAAUAUGGGGGGACCAUCCUCCAAGGCUAAAUACUCCUGACUGACCGAUAGUGAACCAGUACCGUGAGGGAAAGGCGAAAAGAACCCCUGUGAGGGGAGUGAAAUAGAUCCUGAAACCGCAUGCAUACAAGCAGUGGGAGCACCUUCGUGGUGUGACUGCGUACCUUUUGUAUAAUGGGUCAGCGACUUAUAUUCAGUAGCAAGGUUAACCGUAUAGGGGAGCCGUAGAGAAAUCGAGUCUUAAUAGGGCGUUUAGUUGCUGGGUAUAGACCCGAAACCAGGCGAUCUAUCCAUGAGCAGGUUGAAGGUUGGGUAACACUAACUGGAGGACCGAACCCACUGUCGUUGAAAAGCCAGGGGAUGACUUGUGGAUAGGGGUGAAAGGCUAAUCAAGCCUGGUGAUAGCUGGUUCUCCCCGAAAGCUAUUUAGGUAGCGCCUCGGACGAAUACCAUAGGGGGUAGAGCACUGUUUCGGCUAGGGGGUCAUCCCGACUUACCAAACCGAUGCAAACUCCGAAUACCUAUGAGUACUAUCCGGGAGACAGACUGCGGGUGCUAACGUCCGUAGUCAAGAGGAAAACAAUCCAGACCGCCAGCUAAGGCCCCAAAAUCAUAGUUAAGUGGGAAACGAUGUGGGAAGGCAUAGACAGCUAGGAGGUUGGCUUAGAAGCAGCCACCCUUUAAAGAAAGCGUAAUAGCUCACUAGUCGAGUCGGCCUGCGCGGAAGAUGUAACGGGGCUAAAACUAUGUGCCGAAGCUGCGGAUNNNNNNNNNNNNNNNNNNNNNNNNNNNNNNNNNNNNNNNNNNNNNNNNNNNNNNNNNNNNNNNNNNNNNNNNNNNNNNNNNNNNNNAUGCUGGAGGUAUCAGAAGUGCGAAUGCUGACGUGAGUAACGACAAAACGGGUGAAAAACCCGUUCGCCGAAAGACCAAGGGUUCCAGUCCAACGUUAAUCGGGGCUGGGUGAGUCGACCCCUAAGGCGAGGCCGAAAGGCGUAGUCGAUGGGAAAAUGGUUAAUAUUCCAUUACUUCUGUGUAAUGCGAUGAGAGGACGGAGAAGGCUAAAUCAGCCUGGCGUUGGUUGUCCAGGUGAAAGGAUGUAGGCAUGUAUCUUAGGCAAAUCCGGGGUACUCUAUGCUGAGAUCUGAUAGCAAGCUGUACUUGUACAGCGAAGUGGUUGAUGCCAUGCUUCCAGGAAAAGUCUCUAAGCUUCAGUUACACAGGAAUCGUACCCGAAACCGACACAGGUGGUCAGGUCGAGUAGACCAAGGCGCUUGAGAGAACUCUGCUGAAGGAACUAGGCAAAAUGGUACCGUAACUUCGGGAGAAGGUACGCUGUUGUUGGUGAUGGAACUCGCUUCCUGAGCUGACGACAGCCGCAGAAACCAGGCCGCUGCAACUGUUUAUUAAAAACAUAGCACUCUGCAAACACGAAAGUGGACGUAUAGGGUGUGAUGCCUGCCCGGUGCUGGAAGGUUAAUUGAUGGGGUUAGCGUAAGCGAAGCUCUUGAUCGAAGCCCCAGUAAACGGCGGCCGUAACUAUAACGGUCCUAAGGUAGCGAAAUUCCUUGUCGGGUAAGUUCCGACCUGCACGAAUGGCAUAAUGAUGGCGGCGCUGUCUCCAGCAGAGGCUCAGUGAAAUCGAAAUCGCUGUGAAGAUGCAGUGUACCCGCGGCUAGACGGAAAGACCCCGUGAACCUUUACUGCAGCUUGACACUGAACUUUGACCUUACUUGUGUAGGAUAGGUGGGAGGCUUUGAAGCUGGAACGCUAGUUCCAGUGGAGCCGUCCUUGAAAUACCACCCUGGUAAUGUUGAGGUUCUAACUCUGUCCCGUGAUCCGGGACGAGGACCGUGUCUGGUGGGUAGUUUGACUGGGGCGGUCUCCUCCUAAAGAGUAACGGAGGAGUACGAAGGUGCGCUCAGCGUGGUCGGAAAUCACGCGUAGAGUAUAAAGGCAAAAGCGCGCUUAACUGCGAGACCCACAAGUCGAGCAGGUACGAAAGUAGGUCUUAGUGAUCCGGUGGUUCUGUAUGGAAGGGCCAUCGCUCAACGGAUAAAAGGUACUCUGGGGAUAACAGGCUGAUACCGCCCAAGAGUUCAUAUCGACGGCGGUGUUUGGCACCUCGAUGUCGGCUCAUCUCAUCCUGGGGCUGAAGCAGGUCCCAAGGGUAUGGCUGUUCGCCAUUUAAAGAGGUACGCGAGCUGGGUUUAGAACGUCGUGAGACAGUUCGGUCCCUAUCUACCGUGGGCGCUGGAAAUUUGAGAGGAUCUGCUCCUAGUACGAGAGGACCAGAGUGGACGAACCUCUGGUGUACCGGUUGUGACGCCAGUCGCAUCGCCGGGUAGCUAUGUUCGGAAGGGAUAACCGCUGAAAGCAUCUAAGCGGGAAGCCUACCUCAAGAUAAGAUUUCCCUAGGACUUUAUGUCCUCUAAAGAGCCGUUCGAGACUAGGACGUUGAUAGGUUGGAUGUGGAAGCAUAGUGAUAUGUGAAGCUGACCAAUACUAAUUGCUCGUGAGGCUUGACUAUACAACACCCAAGCAGUUG
This 2943-nucleotide ribosomal RNA is filed under the name Acinetobacter baumannii. RNAcentral describes it as "23S ribosomal RNA". It matches the Rfam family "Bacterial large subunit ribosomal RNA". The record is from RNAcentral. Lineage: Bacteria; Pseudomonadati; Pseudomonadota; Gammaproteobacteria; Moraxellales; Moraxellaceae.